GACGAACGCUGGCGGCGUGCUUAACACAUGCAAGUCGAACGGAAAGGCUCCAGCUUGCUGGAGUACUCGAGUGGCGAACGGGUGAGUAACACGUGGGUAAUCUGCCCUGCACUCUGGGAUAAGCCUGGGAAACUGGGUCUAAUACUGGAUAUGACCUUUCUCCUUAUGGGGUUUGGUGGAAAGUUUUUCGGUGUAGGAUGAGCCCGCGGCCUAUCAGCUUGUUGGUGGGGUGAUGGCCUACCAAGGCGACGACGGGUAGCCGGCCUGAGAGGGUGAUCGGCCACAUUGGGACUGAGAUGCGGCCCAGACUCCUACGGGAGGCAGCAGUGGGGAAUAUUGCACAAUGGGCGGAAGCCUGAUGCAGCGACGCCGCGUGAGGGAUGACGGCCUUCGGGUUGUAAACCUCUUUCAGCAGGGACGAAGCGUAAGUGACGGUACCUGCAGAAGAAGCACCGGCUAACUAUGUG
This 467-nucleotide ribosomal RNA is filed under the name uncultured bacterium. RNAcentral describes it as "partial 16S ribosomal RNA". It matches the Rfam family "Bacterial small subunit ribosomal RNA", at positions 28 to 507 of the family's 1533-position model. The record is from RNAcentral.